UUUAGUCAGGCAACAAGCGAGACCCGUGCCCACAGUUGCCAGCAUGCCCUCAGGGGUGAUGGGCACACUGUGGGGACCGCCGCUGCUAAAGCGGAAGAAGGUGCGGGCUACGGUAGGUCAGUAUGCCCCGAAUCAUCCGGGCUACACGCGGGCUACAAUGGUUGGGACAAUGGGCCCCAACCUCGAAAGUGGAAGGUAAUCCCCAAACCCUAUCUCAGUUGGGAUUGAGGGCUGAAACCCGCCCUCAUGAACAUGGAAUCCCUAGUAAUCGCACGUCAUCAUCGUGCGGUGAAUACGUCCCUGCUCCUUGCACA
This 314-nucleotide ribosomal RNA is filed under the name uncultured archaeon. Its description in RNAcentral is "bacterial SSU rRNA". It matches the Rfam family "Archaeal small subunit ribosomal RNA", at positions 1029 to 1343 of the family's 1478-position model. The record is from RNAcentral.